RNAcentral lists this ribosomal RNA (400 nucleotides) under uncultured bacterium. RNAcentral's name for it is "bacterial SSU rRNA". It matches the Rfam family "Bacterial small subunit ribosomal RNA", at positions 355 to 772 of the family's 1533-position model. The record is from RNAcentral.
UGGGGAAUAUUGGACAAUGGGCGAAAGCCUGACGCAGCCAUGCCGCGUGAAUGAUGAAGGUCUUAGGAUUGUAAAAUUCUUUCACCGGGGAAGAUAAUGACAGUACCGGGAGAAUAAGCCCCGGCUAACUCCGUGCCAGCAGCCGCGGUAAUACGGAGGGGGCUAGCGUUGUUCGGAAUUACUGGGCGUAAAGCGCGCGUAGGCGGCUUUGUAAGUCAGAGGUGAAAGCCUGGAGCUCAACUCCAGAACUGCCUUUGAGACUGCAUCGCUUGAAUCAUGGAGAGGUUAGUGGAAUUCCGAGUGUAGAGGUGAAAUUCGUAGAUAUUCGGAAGAACACCAGUGGCGAAGGCGACUAACUGGACAUGUAUUGACGCUGAGGUGCGAAAGCGUGGGGAGCAAA